Molecule: ribosomal RNA, 1343 nt
Filed under: uncultured bacterium
Lineage: Bacteria
Description: 16S ribosomal RNA
Rfam family: Bacterial small subunit ribosomal RNA
Source: RNAcentral
GACGAACGCUGGCGGCGUGCUUAACACAUGCAAGUCGAACGGAAAGGCCCUGCUUUUGUGGGGUGCUCGAGUGGCGAACGGGUGAGUAACACGUGAGUAACCUGCCCUUGACUUUGGGAUAACUUCAGGAAACUGGGGCUAAUACCGGAUAGGAGCUCCUGCUGCAUGGUGGGGGUUGGAAAGUUUCGGCGGUUGGGGAUGGACUCGCGGCUUAUCAGCUUGUUGGUGGGGUAGUGGCUUACCAAGGCUUUGACGGGUAGCCGGCCUGAGAGGGUGACCGGCCACAUUGGGACUGAGAUACGGCCCAGACUCCUACGGGGGGCAGCAGUGGGGAAUAUUGCACAAUGGGCGGAAGCCUGAUGCAGCAACGCCGCGUGCGGGAUGACGGCCUUCGGGUUGUAAACCGCUUUCGCCCGUGACGAAGCGUGAGUGACGGUAAUGGGUAAAGAAGCACCGGCUAACUACGUGCCAGCAGCCGCGGUGAUACGUAGGGUGCGAGCGUUGUCCGGAUUUAUUGGGCGUAAAGGGCUCGUAGGUGGUUGAUCGCGUCGGAAGUGUAAUCUUGGGGCUUAACCCUGAGCGUGCUUUCGAUACGGGUUGACUUGAGGAAGGUAGGGGAGAAUGGAAUUCCUGGUGGAGCGGUGGAAUGCGCAGAUAUCAGGAGGAACACCAGUGGCGAAGGCGGUUCUCUGGGCCUUUCCUGACGCUGAGGAGCGAAAGCGUGGGGAGCGAACAGGCUUAGAUACCCUGGUAGUCCACGCUGUAAACGGUGGGUACUAGGUGUGGGGUCCAUUCCACGGGUUCCGUGCCGUAGCUAACGCUUUAAGUACCCCGCCUGGGGAGUACGGCCGCAAGGCUAAAACUCAAAGGAAUUGACGGGGCCCCGCACAAGCGGCGGAGCAUGCGGAUUAAUUCGAUGCAACGCGUAGAACCUUACCUGGGUUUGACAUGGAUCGGGAGUGCUCAGAGAUGGGUGUGCCUCUUUUGGGGUCGGUUCACAGGUGGUGCAUGGCUGUCGUCAGCUCGUGUCGUGAGAUGUUGGGUUAAGUCCCGCAACGAGCGCAACCCUUGUUCACUGUUGCCAGCACGUUAUGGUGGGGACUCAGUGGAGACCGCCGGGGUCAACUCGGAGGAAGGUGGGGAUGACGUCAAGUCAUCAUGCCCCUUAUGUCCAGGGCUUCACGCAUGCUACAAUGGCUGGUACAGAGAGUGGCGAGCCUGUGAGGGUGAGCGAAUCUCGGAAAGCCGGUCUCAGUUCGGAUUGGGGUCUGCAACUCGACCUCAUGAAGUCGGAGUCGCUAGUAAUCGCAGAUCAGCAACGCUGCGGUGAGUACGUUCCCGGG